GAGGAGCGCGCGGAGCGCGGUGAAAAUUUAGCCACCGCUAGGGGCACUGCUGUGUUCAAAGGUGCCACGCUUGCGACGGCCGGGCACCGACAAGGCUUCGCCGGCUGCGUUGACGCUUCGCUGUCGCCUCUGUCGUCGUCAGUGAAAUUUGUCUGCAGUGUUGGGUCGUCGCGUUGCCACACGAGGAAUGGACUCUUCAGAUUCAGACUGUUGGAUGUAAUGAACCCUGCCGUCAAGCCGCUCAAGCACGUGCUUUAUACCUGGAUGCAAAGGCGGGUAUCGAUCUUUCUCGCAAAAGCUUUCUGUGUUUGAAAGCCCCAACUGAUGUCUUGGAAAGGGAGCAGUGGACCUGAAAUAUUAAACGGGCUGAAAAAGAUCUUACCAACGACAGCGUGGUUUGUGAACGGCACUUCGACGAAAGGUUCGUCGAAAGGACCUACCGGCACACAGUCAACGGUGAGGUUGUGGAAUUGCCGCGCGAUCGUCCGCGUCUGAAAGAAGACGCCGUGCCCACUGUGUUCCCUGAGGCACCUAAGUAUUUCACGAAGCUCCGAUGAAAAGGAAAGAGAGAAAUAUAUGCGAGCAGCUUGGACCUGCUGCAAAACGGCAAAAGCUGAACGCAAUCAACAGGCAAGACGCCCAGCAAGAUGACACCGUAGCGCACACGCAGCUACGCCAGGGGCCAGAUAUACCAGAUAUCAUUGCCUCAAUAAACAGCACGCCGUGCAACUUGAGCGUGCGUGUCAUAAUGUCUGCCUACCUGAUGCAACAUGGAGUAAGGUAACGUUUCCAAGUGAACGUUACAGUGUGUUUUUCGGAACCAUGUGAGCUCGAGGGCGAGCACGUUGACCACAUCUUGGUGCCGAAGUUAGUGAAAUUCAAGUCGGAAAGCAACCAGCAACCAACCGGAGUCGUUGUGUUGCUCUGUAUUCCUCAGGGGCCAAUUGCGCUCACAGUGCACUGUUUCUUCGCCGGAGGAAGCGCAGUCAGUGCUCCACAGCACACAUGCACUUAUGUUGUGUGGAGGCUGCGGCGUGAAACCAGAGGAGCAAGGAAGAUAUAUAUCGUUUGCUGGGUGCUACCUUUCCAUCAAGUGCACUUACGUAUGUGAAAGUAACGGCCCCUGCAUUCAUUGCAAAUACUUGAGAAAACUGCUGCAGAAUCAAUUUUCACGAAAGCGACGGAACGGGAGUGAAACAGUUAAAAAAAAUAAUGAAUGAAAAUGUUCGGUGCGACAGAGCCCUGACUACAGCAUUGCCAUUUCUACUCUAAAAAUAUAAGCUCUCCAAGGAAAAAGAAAAGAGAAAAUUAAAUUUAAAUUAUUUCAACACUGAACAAAACCUUCGAGAGCGAAAAAUAGACACGCGAACCAUUGCUUCUUAUAAGAGGAAAUAUUAAGCAGUUUACACUCCAAAAAAGCCCAUAAAGAAACAAACACUCAAGACAUAGUUUGACUGCGCUCACGUAAAUGGAUUAAUUCACAUGAAGUUGGCGAAACAUGUCAAAUCUGGUCAAUGCUGAGAAACAUUUAAUUAUAAACUAAACGCCGGUUGCCUGCUGCGUCUGUUAAAAUAUUGUGGUUUUCGUUUAUGUUAAAUACACCAUUUAAAAUUUCAAACGCGCGCUUUUCAACGAACUAACAAAAUGACUAGUUCAUGUCCUGUUAACACGGACGCGGCGUGUAAUUAUUAGAAACAAGGUGAAAGUAUAAACAGGCCGUGUCUGCUGUGCCCGGGGCACAGCAGACGAAAGGUGCCCGAAAUGUCUACGUUCACCCAUGACGUCACGUCCGCUAUAACCCAUGAUGUCACAUCCGCUCAUUUCCAUGGCGGCCGUCUUACGGAGCCGGCUGCGCUGCGAAACGGUCCGUAUUCCAUGCCCACUUAGAGCACUGAACAUCCCACAUCUUGGUUUGACUUCCUGGUACAGGAUACUUGCACUUAGCAUGGAGUGAUGAAGCAGAGCAGUGUACUUUUAUUAAAUGUGCAGAUUUUAGCAGUAUAACAGCAGUUCGUUAAAAAAACGUGUGCUGAAAAUAAAGUGUUCUUACCCACA
Non-coding RNA from Dermacentor andersoni, 2055 nucleotides. The record is from RefSeq and is a predicted model, not a curated record. Lineage: Eukaryota; Metazoa; Arthropoda; Arachnida; Ixodida; Ixodidae.